This 3009-nucleotide ribosomal RNA is filed under the name groundwater metagenome. RNAcentral describes it as "bacterial LSU rRNA". It matches the Rfam family "Bacterial large subunit ribosomal RNA". The record is from RNAcentral.
GUUUCUAAGUAAGGGCGUAUGGUGGAUGCCUUGGCAUGAAAUAGCGAUGAAGGACGCAGCGUAACGGCGAUACGUUUCGGGGAGGUGUGUAGCAACCUUUGAUCCGGAAAUUUCCGAAUGGGGUAACCCGAUCUCGCAAACCGAGAUCAACUUAGUCCGUAAGUGAUUAAGUAGUGCACCCGCUGAAGUGAAACAUCUCAGUAAGCGGAGGAAAAGAGAACGAAGUUAUUUCUUGAGUAGCGGCGAGCGAAAGAGAAGAAGCCUAAACCAGAAUUUGUUUUACGCAAGUAAAAUAGGUUUUGGGGUUGCAAGAUAUGAACAUUUUUCACUAAUCACAGCCGAGAUUUUCUCGUUUGUGAUUAGUGAAGAGAGAGUUACAAAUUUAUUUGUUAGCCGAAGAGUCUGGAAAGUCUCUCCAUAGUAGGUGAUAGGCCUGUAAGCGAAAGCGAAUAAACUCUUUGUUUGUAAUCUUAAGUACCUCGACACAAGAGAGUGUGGAGGGAAUCAUCCCAUACUAUUGGGAAAGGCUAAAUAUAUUUCAUGACCGAUAGUGAACAAGUACCGUGAGGGAAAGGUGAAAAGCAGUCCGGUUAGGACAGUGAAAUAGACCUGAAACCAUAUGUCUACAAGGAACGGAAGUCCGCAAGGACAACCGUGUGCCUAUUGAAGAAUGAACCAACGAGUUCAUGUGUAUUGCAAGUCUAACCAAAAUUUUUUGGCGAGGCGUAGCGAAAGCUAGUGUUAAUAGCGCGAUUUAGCAGUUCAUAUGAGACCCGAAACCAAGCGAGCUUGCCCUGGCCAGGAUGAGUUCCCCGUAAUUGGGGAAGGAGGUCCGAACCGGUCGGUUGUUCAACACCGUCGGAUGAGCUGGGGUAAGAAGUGAAAAGCUAAUCGAGCUUGGUAAUAGCUGGUUCUCUCCGAAACAGUUCUAGGACUGGCGUCAAAUGUUCCCUUCUGGGGGUAGAGCACUGGAUGGUCUGUAAUGGGCGCAAGCUCGGCAGACCAAUCAAACUCCGAAUACCGGAAGGUCAAGAAUUUGGCAGUUAGACUACGGGGGCUAAGCUUCGUGGUCGAGAGAAGAAGAGUUCAGAUCGCAAUCUAAGGUCCCAAAGUUUUUGUUAAGUGUGUAAGGUAGUCGUGCACCUAUGACAGAUAGUAGGUUGGCUUAGAGGUAGCCAUCCUUUAAAGAGUGUGUAACAACUCACUAUUCGAUGGUGGACGGCGCCGAAAAUGUACCGGGGCUAAACAAAGCACCGAAGAUGCGAAUUUAUUCUGCCUCCGGGCAGGAUAAGUGGUAGGAGAGCAUUCCUAACGCAGUGAAGAUUGACCCGUGAGGGCGAUUGGAGGGUUAGGAAGAGAGAAUGUUGGUAUGAGUAACCGCAAGGUCGGAAAGAAACCGGCCCCCCGAAAAUUCAAGGUUUCCGUGGCAAUGGCAAUCAUCCACGGGUUAGGCGGCCCUAAGGCAAUGGCAUUGUCCGCAGCCGAAGGACAGCUGGUUAAUACUCCAGCCCGCCAAUUCAAUUCGACGGAGGGACGAGGUAAAUAAGGAAGGGUGUAUUAAUGGUUUUACAUCGCUAGCUUUAAGCGUGGCUAUAUAGGCAAAUCCGUAUAGCUGUCUUUAAUGACGUCAUGCAAAAGCCUGCGGAAGGUCAAGUUUUCUUGAUCAACCCAUCUGAAGAGACCUCCUAGAAAAACUUCUAAGAUUAGUUGAAUUGGCUCCGUACCGGAAACCGACACAGGUGGAUAGGGCGAGAAGCCCAAGGGGAACGAGUGAUUUCUCAUUAAGGAACUCGGCAAAAAAGCGAUCGUAAGUUAGCGAUAAGAUCUGCCUCGAGCAAUCGAGGCCGCAGCGAAAGUAUCUCUGGCGACUGUUUACCAAAAACACAGCUCCCUGCGAACUCGUAAGAGUAUGUAUAGGGGGUGACGCCUGACCGAUGCGAGAAGGUUAAAACUGGGGGUGAACUUGGAGCAAUCCGGGUUGGCUCGCUGGUUGAAGCCCUCGUCAAUGUCAGCGGUAACUAUAACCGUUCUAAGGUAGCGCAAUUCCUUUUCGGGUAAGUUCCGAAGCGCACGAAUGGCGUAACGACCGGAGAACUGUCUCAAUGAGAAGCUCGGUGAAAAUGCGAUUCCAGUGAAGACGCUGGGUACCUGCAGCGGGACGAAAAGACCCCGGGAGCUUUACUGUAGCUUGGUAUUGUCUUUAGAAUUUAGAUACGUAGUGUAGUGGUUAGGAAUUGAAGUCCGCCUUUCGGGGCGGAUGGAUCCGACAAUGAAACAGCCAUUUUCUAAAUUUUAAAGUCUAACCUUGAGGGCAAAAACCUUAGGGGACAGUGCCUGGUGGGCAGUUUUUCUGGGGCAGAAUCCUCCCAAAGAGUAAUGGAGGAGUUUAUUAAGGUCAGCUAAGGUCGGAUGGAAAUCGACCUAGUCGUAUAAAGGCAUAAGCUGGCUUGACUGCAAGACUUACAAGUCGCGCAGGUGCGAAAGCAGAACUUAGCGACCCGACGGCUCCUAAUAGAAAGGCCGGAGACACCGGAUAAAAGCUACCCCGGGGAUAACAGGCUGGUCUUGUCCGAGAGUCCCUAUCGACGACAAGGCUCGGCACCUCGAUGUCGGCUCGCCCUAGCGCGGGGCUGAAGAAGGUCCCAAGCGUGUGGCUGUUCGCCACUUAAAAGGGCACGCGAGCUGGGUUCAAACCGUCGUGAGACAGGUUGGUCUCUAUCUGUUGCAGGCGUUAACACUUGAGGGAAGUCGACCCUAGUACGAGAGGACCGGGUUGAACGAACCUCUGGUCUAUCGGCUUUGCUACCAAGCGAAUGCCGAGUAGCUAUGUUCGGAAAGGAUAAGCGCUGAAAGCAUCUAAGCGCGAAGCCUCUCCCAAGAUUAGGUGUGUCUUUUUCUCGCAAGAGAAAAAGAGUGAUCCCUGGAAGAUUACCAGGUUGAUAGGCUUCAGAUGUAAGCAUAGUAAUGUGUUUAGUCGAGAAGUACUAAUAGAUCAAAAGAAACCGACCA